ACUUGGAAAAAACAUACAUCAUAUUGCAAUAUAAUUUACUUUGAGAUUUCAAUUUGGAAAAUGGCAUGGAAAUAAUCCAGCUUGAACAUCGUCCUCCUCACCUCCUGGACUAGGGCGAGGGCCCCUUAUAUUUCUUCAUGGCAAUUGUGUCACAGUUCAAACGCUCGUACCCUGACUCCAUCUGGGAUUUGGAAUGCACUCAGGGAAGUGGCUGUGCAUGGAGACUAGAAAUGGAAGAGGCUUCCAAGGUCAUGCCUUUCAGGCUCCCUUCAAAUUCUACAGCUACUGUGAAGAGAGUUGCAUUCCCACAGAGAACAUGUCAGACUGGAGGAAAAUUGUGACAAAAGGUCUCCCCAAAGCCUGGAAGGUAGAAAAUAUAAAUAGAAGAAAGAGAGGUGCAAAUCAACCCACUUCUAUUCAACCCACCAGCAUAGUCAACCUGUGACAUUUACUACCAUGGGGAGCUGCUGAGGCAGGGUAGAGUUGGAUUUGAGGAAGGAUUAGAUAAUUUUAUGAGCAUGACUAACAUUUAAAGCUAUGUGAGCUAAAACAAAAAAGAUACGAGGAAAUGAAGUCUCAUGUUCCAGGAUGUAAAUUGAUCACAUGUGGAAGGAGGGGCAAAAGGAAUUCCCACCUCGCAAUCCAGCGUGGGAUAUUACAGAAUGAGCCAGUUGCAAUAGGCUUGACUUUCCCUCUUUAUUUUCCUUUUCCUUUUCUCUGGUACAUCUGAUUCUGGCUAAACAGUAGGUGGGGAUAUUAGCCCUGACAAAUAGCGAUUUGAUCCCACAGGGCAACUCCUAUUGAAAACCAAGAUAACACAAAUAUUUUCAAUUCUUCAAGUUGAACCUAGACUAAGUAUUUUGUUUUGCGGGUGAUCCCUCUGUUCUUUUAUUAAGAGAAGAUCAUUUUAUGAGAACUAAGAAUAUUUGCAUUCCUAGCAUUUAAAAUUCUCAACAAACACAUUGCUCAAGCAAAUAAAAAGAAUAGAACCAAGUAAGGUAAGAUCUUCUUAAUUAGUUGAGACUUUUGAGCAAGGAUGAAUCCAGUCUUGAAGUACUGGCAAUUUCAAAAUACUCAUUUUACCUUAAACGUACAAAUAAAAUGUGUUUCUGAGCUGCAGUAUUCUGAGCUUGGUGAUGAUUGAAGGCCCUGGAAGAGGGGAUGGCAGAUUUUAUUGGGCUGGAUGGGUUCUCACCCGCCAUCUCCCCAUGGGAAAUUUUGUAAAAAUAUUCAACUCUAAUGGUUCAGUGAAAAGCAUUUGGGCCUCAGGGAAUCAACGGGAGCUAAGUUUUAUAGAGUGAAUCCCAUCUGGGACUAGAAGAAUUAAGAAACAGAACUAUGGGAGACAGGCAACAAGAGGAAUAGCAAUAUCAGCCCCAUGGUACAAAAAGUUAGUCUUUCAUUGUAUAAGCAGUGCUAUGAUUUCCUGCAUUAAGAUUACAAAAGCAAUCAGAUCAGAGAUUGUGGACUUUUUUCAUUAUAGGAUUUGAGUUGACCCUUUCUUCAACUAUGAAUUCUUUGGUUGGGGAACAGCCCUGAUUUCCAAUAUGAACCCUAAAUAUCAUUUGCUUCAGGAAGGAUUUUUCCUGUUGGUUCUUAGCAAUGUUUCUGAACUUGUGGCAAUGGUUGUCUAUACAAAAUUGACUACUCCAUUCUCUUAUCCCUUCCUCCCUAGCAUAGACCACUUCUCAUUAUAAAACUUUUUUUUUUUUUUUUUUGAGAUGAACUCUUGCUCUGUUGCCCAGGCUGAAGUGCUGUGGCACAAUCUCGGCUCACUGCAACCACAGCCUCCCGGGUUCAAGUGAUUCUCCCACCUCAGUCUCUCAAGUAGCUAGGAUUACAGGUGCGUGUCACCCAUGACCAGAUAAUUUUUGUAUUUUUAGGAGACAUGGGUUUUGCCAUGUUGGCCAGGCUGGUCUCAAACUCCAGACCUCAAGUGAUUCUCCCGCCUCAGCCUCCCAAAGUGCCGGAAUUACAGGCAUGUACCACUGCACCCGGCCUAUAAAACUUAAAAUUCCAAACAGGCAUCUAGUUUUGCAGCCUUAUCUUGCACCUAGAAUUGACUAUGUGACUCAGUUGUGGCCACUUCUGGCUUGGAGGAUGCUAGGAAAUAUUUUCCUUUUUGGAUAAAAGGAGAGAAAUAUGGGAGGAGAGUUGUGUUUUCUGUUUGUUUGUUUGUUUGCUUGCUUGCUUGUUUGUUUUUCUGGCUAUCCCUUCUCUCUCCUUGACAUAGUGGGGAAAGAAUGUGGCAUUUCAUACUGUGGCAAUUAUUUUGUGACCAUGAGAUGACAAACUUGAGGAUCAAAGGCACCAUGGUAUCAUUGACAAGAUGGAAGGGGAGAAAAAUCUUGAGUUCAUAAUGACAUCCCUGAGCCACUACAACAACCCUGAGACCAUGAGCCUGUUGAUUUCUUGAAGCCACUUUUAGAUGGAUAUUCUGUUACAGCCCAAAGCCUUCUAACUAUUAAAUACACCCAGUGAAAAUGUGGCUAUGUGUUCCAAUAGAGCACAGAACCCCAAAGAAACACACGGCCUGUGACUUCUGGUCAUAUCGAAUCACUGAUAUUCCCUGAUGUACACUGGCAUAUUUCUCUUGGAAAAAAUAGCGAACCAGGGCUUCCUUGAUGGUUGUCUGAGAAUUCAUUGGCUAAUACUGGCAGAGCCUAAGGCCAUGAACAUGCUCAUCAUUACUAAGGAGGCAGCAAUCCUGGAGGUUGCAAUUCAACAUGAGAAAGAAAAGGAGGAUUUUGCUCCAAAUUCCACACAAGGUUUCCUUCCCUCUUUUUCUCAUUUCCCACAAUCUUACCCUUUUCUUUGUGUCUUAUUUUGGCUUCAGAAAACCUCUUUACCUUUUCAUUUUCCAAUUCUGAUGUUACUUAAUUCUUCAAUAUGGUAAAGCAAUAAAAAGAAAGCUGGCUGAUAAUCUGAGAGCAGUGCCAAAAAUGUAUGUUUGGAAUGUUAGGACUUUAUCGAAAAAUACGACUUUAUUGAAUAAGCAGAAAUUUUGUUAAGCUCCAAAGGAAUCUAACCAUCUCCCCUCCCCCACCAUCACUGCCUAAAUUUCACAUCCUCUGAUAACUUAAGUGCCUUCCCAGACUGGCAUAUCUUCUAGUCUGCAUAUCCUAAACUACAAAUCCAAUACUAUCGAGUGACUGGAAAUGGUACAACUCAAAAGGCUAGGAAAAAUCCUGCUCUAUGGAAACACAUUCAUUUUUAAAAUUUCUUUAUUUCAAACGUUUCCAUCCUAAUUUCCCUUCUUGAAGAAUUUUCAUUAUACAUGAGCAGGGAAUUAUGAUGUGUGUCAUAUUUUAUAACUUAGCUAAUUUGAAGAUACUUUUUUCUUUUACAUCUGUUAGAUUUUUAAAAAAAAAAAAGUGUAUUAUACUUUAAGUUCUGGGAUACAUGUGCAGAAUGUGCAAGUUUGUUACACAGGUAUAUGUGCCAUGGUGGUUUGCUGUGCCCUUCAACCCGACCAUCCUGAGCUCAAAGCCCAGAAUCAGAGCUGAUGAGUAACCAAGGAAUUCAGAUUUUAGUACUGAAAAUAAUGUAUAGGAAAUUCCAUUGUUCUGGAGGACAAGAAUUUAGCAUUCAUAGCUGAAAUGUGUAAGAGGAAAAAAAUUGCCAGAAAAAUGCUGUUUGCAAUGCUGUGAGGGUCUGCUCUAAAUGGUGUUUCUUGUGGGAGGGACUUGGUGUGACGCGGUGUUGUGUGUUUUGGUUUUUGGUUUUCAUCUGGAGGCUUUUUUGCUUUUGUUUCUCAGACUAUUAGGACGGCUAAUAUCCAAAACGCUGACAGUACCAAAUGGUAGAGCA
This 3810-nucleotide long non-coding RNA is filed under the name Homo sapiens (human). Its description in RNAcentral is "HSALNT0368846". The record is from RNAcentral. Lineage: Eukaryota; Metazoa; Chordata; Mammalia; Primates; Hominidae.